AGGACGUGGCAUGGGCUGGCGUCUACUUUGCGCCUCCAGGGGAGCAAGUGGGAAAUUUGCGCCCCCUUCCGGAUAACUGCUACCCGAACUGUGUCUUUUUGGCGCUCCUUUCAUCAUCAGCAUCCUUCAACUGCGCCAUCCUUACUUCCCGUUUCACCUGGUGCUCAGAGCAGUCCAUGAGGAUCUGCGCCAGGUCGCCAUGGGUGCAACAAAGUUCGCAGCGGGGCCAAGGUUGGCGUGAACCUCUGAAGCACCCGUCAAAGGUGCUUCAUGAAGCACCUGAAGCACCUCAGUCUACCACCACCACAUCACUGUCACCACCUAGCUUCGUCAUCCUUCUUCAAUGUAACCCACUGUCCGGAAUAAAGACGACAACGGGCCGUUCAUUCCAUUCACGCGAUGCAAGGCCAUCGCCAUGCUAAUAGCAAUGCCCUGAGCUCCCUGACGUGCGUGUAGGUGUGGUCUGCCCUACGUACCACAUGCUGGUAUAUAUCAUGAAGACCCGCACUCUUCUUGCCGUCACAGCUAUCCUCGUCAUUCAAGGCGCGUUAUCAACAGAAAACAUCAACGCGAGUCAACCUGAAGCAUUAAUUCACGACGACACAGGGUCCGAAAAACUUUUCCAUCCCGGCGUUCAUGCUGCGUUUCAUCGAGACGAAGAGGAGAGCGGCCAACCAACUCAAGAAGUCGUCUUCACAACGGGACCUGCGAGACAAGGCGAGAGGUGCACAUAGUCGACAAUACCGUCCACGACCAGCCCUGGAUUGUACUACCCAACCGUAGCCCCUGGACAUAUGCCGCAUUCUUUGGUCUCGGAUCAGUCUUCACCUUGCUCUUCGUCGCGUACAGUAUUGUGAGGUACAGACACUCUCAGGAGAAAACAGGCUACGAGAAAGUAAACAACAGCGAAUCUGACGAUCUUCCGCUACCACCGCUACCCGAUGAGCUAGCCGCUUCUGAAGAAGUGACAACGGCUGAAGAAGAGUCCAACAUAGAAGCGGAGCGGCUCGUGCUAAAUCCGUUGUUAGGAAACGACUUCGUGGUAAAUCAAAAUAAUACACAGCGCGAUAGGGAACGGUUUGCGAAAAGCCCACAAGAGGCAAGAGGACACGGCAGGCAAAGAUCUCUGUGGUCCAAGAUUGUGAAGUCUUCGAGGGAACUCGUUGUUCCCGGUAGUGUGUCGCACGACUCCACGACAGCGCAGAGGGGGAGUAGUCGGCCUCCGAGCAGCCUGCCGACCAUCGCUUCACACGUGGACUCCUUGAGGGAUUUAGCAGACGUAGAAAAAACGCUGUGGUGGAGGUCAAUGUGAGAAAGUGGUGCGCACUUUGUGGGCCCGAAACAGGUACCAUUACCGCGGGAACGCGGGGAUGAGAUGUUCGUUUCUCGGUGACUCUGGCCGCUUCUUCGAUGCGGCUUGGGUGUGUUUAGGUACGGACAGAAGGUGGUAGAGCGGGUGAAUAUUCUCUCUACUUCGAUCCUUGAGGAAUGGACGGACGAAAUUGCUUGAUGUGUACAGUUCGCAUGCAUACGAAAGAAAACGCUAACAGCGGUACUGAGGUUCCUAAACCGGGUGAUGAACAGGGGCAAUUAGUAUACGAACAUGUCAUGUUCGCACACCCCUUACGCUGAAGCGAUAAGAGUGGCCUGUCAUGAAUAAGCUUUACUCGCCUGAUGCAACACAUAUACAUGUAUGCGUCGCGACUUCUUCAACGUAGUGCUGAACCGCUAACGUAACACAGUUUGGCUGAAUGGCAAGGUUUUCUGUUCAGCAGUUACAUGUCCGGUGACGUCGGGAUCCUUGUUACAAUAUACCGCAGGUACAUUAAACAUAAUAAAAACGUCCCGUUCUUGGACGACACACAUCUGAA
Ornithodoros turicata is the source of this 1871-nucleotide long non-coding RNA. RefSeq lists it as uncharacterized. Lineage: Eukaryota; Metazoa; Arthropoda; Arachnida; Ixodida; Argasidae. The record is from RefSeq and is a predicted model, not a curated record. The transcript is spliced from 2 exons.